GAUGAACGCUGGCGGCGUGCCUAAUACAUGCAAGUCGAGCGAACGGACGAGAAGCUUGCUUCUCUGAUGUUAGCGGCGGACGGGUGAGUAACACGUGGAUAACCUACCUAUAAGACUGGGAUAACUUCGGGAAACCGGAGCUAAUACCGGAUAAUAUUUUGAACCGCAUGGUUCAAAAGUGAAAGACGGUCUUGCUGUCACUUAUAGAUGGAUCCGCGCUGCAUUAGCUAGUUGGUAAGGUAACGGCUUACCAAGGCAACGAUGCAUAGCCGACCUGAGAGGGUGAUCGGCCACACUGGAACUGAGACACGGUCCAGACUCCUACGGGAGGCAGCAGUAGGGAAUCUUCCGCAAUGGGCGAAAGCCUGACGGAGCAACGCCGCGUGAGUGAUGAAGGUCUUCGGAUCGUAAAACUCUGUUAUUAGGGAAGAACAUAUGUGUAAGUAACUGUGCACAUCUGGACGGUACCUAAUCAGAAAGCCACGGCCAACUACGU
RNAcentral lists this ribosomal RNA (496 nucleotides) under uncultured bacterium. RNAcentral's name for it is "partial 16S ribosomal RNA". It matches the Rfam family "Bacterial small subunit ribosomal RNA", at positions 28 to 506 of the family's 1533-position model. The record is from RNAcentral.